This 253-nucleotide ribosomal RNA is filed under the name uncultured bacterium. RNAcentral's name for it is "partial 16S ribosomal RNA". It matches the Rfam family "Bacterial small subunit ribosomal RNA", at positions 524 to 776 of the family's 1533-position model. The record is from RNAcentral.
UACAGAGGGGGCAAGCGUUAUUCGGAAUUAUUGGGCGUAAAGGGCGCGUAGGCGGCCUGGCAAGUGGAAGGUGAAAUCCCUCGGCUUAACCGAGGAACUGCCUCCCAAACUGCUUGGCUUGAGACCGGGAGAGGUGAGUGGAAUUCCCAGUGUAGCGGUGAAAUGCGUAGAUAUCAGGAGGAACACCGGUGGCGAAGGCGGAUCUCUGGACCAGUUCUGACACUGAUGAGCGAAAGCCAGGGGAGCAAACAGG